UUAAGCAUAUCAAUAAGCGGAGGAAAAGAAACCAACAGGGAUUGCCUUAGUAACGGCGAGUGAAGCGGCAACAGCUCAAAUUUGAAAUCUGGCCUUGGCCCGAAUUGUAAUUUGUAGAGGAUGUCUCGAGCAUGGUGCGGUCUGAGUUCCCUGGAACGGGACGCCAGAGAGGGUGAGAGCCCCGUACAGAUCAGUGCCUCUGUUCAUGUGAGACUCCUUCGACGAGUCGAGUUGUUUGGGAAUGCAGCUCAAAAUGGGUGGUAAAUUUCAUCUAAAGCUAAAUAUUGGCCAGAGACCGAUAGCGCACAAGUAGAGUGAUCGAAAGAUGAAAAGCACUUUGGAAAGAGAGUUAAAUAGCACGUGAAAUUGUUGAAAGGGAAGCGCUCGCAAUCAGACUUGCGCGUAGCUGAUCAUCCGGCGUUCUCGCUGGUGCACUCGGUUGCGUUCAGGCCAGCAUCAGUUUUGGCGGUUGGAUAAAGGCCCUAGGAACGUGGCUGCUCCGGCAGUGUUAUAGCCUAGGGUGCAAUGCAACCCGCUGGGACUGAGGUCCGCGCUCUGCAAGGAUGCUGGCGUAAUGAUUGUGAGCGACCCGUCUUGAAACACGGACCAAGGAGUCUAACAUCUAUGCGAGUGUUCGGGUGUUAAACCCCUACGCGUAAUGAAAGUGAACGGAGGUGAGAGCCCUUUGGGUGCAUCAUCGACCGAUCCUGAUGUCUUCGGAUGGAUUUGAGUAUGAGCAUAGCUGUUGGGACCCGAAAGAUGGUGAACUAUGCUUGGAUAGGGUGAAGCCAGAGGAAACUCUGGUGGAGGCUCGCAGCGGUUCUGACGUGCAAAUCGAUCGUCAAAUCUGAGCAUGGGGGCGAAAGACUAAUCGAACCAU
RNAcentral lists this ribosomal RNA (880 nucleotides) under Lauriomyces cylindricus. Its description in RNAcentral is "LSU rRNA". It matches the Rfam family "Eukaryotic large subunit ribosomal RNA", at positions 34 to 943 of the family's 3401-position model. The record is from RNAcentral. Lineage: Eukaryota; Fungi; Ascomycota; Leotiomycetes.